UGAUCCUGCGCCGAAGAUUUCCGGGGCUAAAACUUACUACCGAAGCUACGGCAUCAGUAAUGAUGGGUAGGGGAGCUUCCCAUACGGGUUGAAGCAUGACCGUAAGGACAUGUGGACAGUAUGGGAGCGAGAAUGUUGGCAUGAGUAGCGAGAUGUGGGUGAGAAUCCCACAGGCCGUAAACCCAAGGUUUCCAGGGGAAGGUUCGUCCGCCCUGGGUUAGUCGGGCCCUAGGCUGAGGCCGAAAGGCGUAGGUGCUGGCAAACAGGUGGAUAUUCCUGGACUACCGAU
RNAcentral lists this ribosomal RNA (289 nucleotides) under Clostridioides difficile. Its description in RNAcentral is "partial 23S ribosomal RNA". It matches the Rfam family "Bacterial large subunit ribosomal RNA", at positions 1154 to 1451 of the family's 2925-position model. The record is from RNAcentral. Lineage: Bacteria; Bacillati; Bacillota; Clostridia; Peptostreptococcales; Peptostreptococcaceae.